AAUUUCAUAUCAAUCUGCCAUUUUACCAUUUAUAGAUUCCAAUGGUUGUGUAGAUGAAGUCUACUACAGUUCUUUUAUCCACCAAAGGACCAGUAGCAAUCAUGAGGUAUGAUCGAGUGAAUCUUGUACUAUUAAUAUUAGGAUGUUAGGAAUAGUGCCAGGUAGUUGCCUGGCACGUAUUCAUUGGGCCGCCAAUUAACAGAUCCAUAGAUGGCCACGUUUAUUGAUUAUCCCAGUUGUCUCUUGAGGUUUUAAGGUUUUAUUGCCACGUGUCAUCUGCAGAUCCGUAGGUAUAGAAAAGUGGAGAGAGAUGGAGAUGUGUGAGCGGUUAGCACUGACAAUGCUCCUUCGCCGAUGUUGGUGAACGACGUACACUACUCCAGAUCCCAACUGUUUUAGUUCCAGAUCUUGAUCUCUUCGUGCAAGAAUGACGAGCGAUGCCACAAGCCUAAUCAUAAAGAAUUCUCGAAGUUUGUUGUCGGGCUAUUAGUUUCAUUGUGAUGGCAUUCGUAUGGUUUUUUCUUUGCAUUUAAAAUCACUUUGAUUUGGUGGCUCAAUAUCAUAUAAAAACAUUCUAAGCUAUCGUGGUUCAGUUAAGAUUCAUUGUUAAACAUAUAUCUUCAAGCUAUCGAAGAUCUGAUCGAAGCGAGGGCUUCUCACUUUCAAUUCAGAUUUCAGAGGUUGCAAACUACUGUAGCACCCGUGUUCAUACUGCUUUACAAGAGGAGUUAGAGCCUCUCAUGGUAAGCUUGGUACCAAUUCAAGUGAUAAUAACUGUUGGAGAAAAUAGCAUUUUACAACUGUUUCCUUAAGGUUGAUGGCUAG
Helianthus annuus (common sunflower) is the source of this 825-nucleotide long non-coding RNA. RefSeq lists it as uncharacterized. The record is from RefSeq and is a predicted model, not a curated record. NCBI's taxonomy places the organism in Eukaryota, Viridiplantae, Streptophyta, Magnoliopsida, Asterales, Asteraceae. The transcript has 3 exons.